Non-coding RNA from Labrus bergylta (ballan wrasse), 2342 nucleotides. The record is from RefSeq and is a predicted model, not a curated record. Lineage: Eukaryota; Metazoa; Chordata; Actinopteri; Labriformes; Labridae.
GUUUCCACCCGGACCAUUGAGUGUGUAAACGCUCCUGCUGAGCAGACACGUGAUUCUCCGUGUGUUUAUUAAUGAUCGUUAGGGUGCUAACGUAACAGUAGAUGAUCAGAGUAAAGUUGUAAAGACGUCAGCGCUGAGUUGAGUUUCCCCUCUGUGACUCUUGGAUGUGUGUAAGAUGGCCGGGUUUAAGGAUCUUAAAGAGUUAUUCAGUCGACGGCUGCUCGCUGCGGUUAUCAGAGAUAUAACAGAAGAAAGAACAACAAGUGGAUACGAAGAGGAGCUCCACCGACAAAGAAAACUGCUGGAUGUGAUUUUAACUCCUGAAAUCAAGCUACAGAGAACAGACGUCCAGGUGGUGAGUAAAGAAGAGCAGCAGGAGUGGAGCCCCAGUCUGGACCAGGAGGACACUAAGCCCCCACACAUUAAAGAAUAACAUGAGGAACUGUGGAUUAGUCAGGAGGAAGAACAGCUUCAAGGACUGGAGGAGGCUGAUACCACCAAGUUCCCCUUCACUCCUGUCUCUGUGAAGAGUGAAGAUGAUGAAGAGAAACCUCAGUCCUCACAGCUUCAUCAGAGACAAACUGAACAGAUGGAAACAGGAGUUGAUGGAGAGGACUGUGGAGGAGCAGAACCAGAGAGAGACUCAGAUCCAGAGAGACGUUCACAACCAGAGACUGAGGUCGAGACUGAAGACUCUUAUGAACCUGAGACUGAUGACAGUGAUGAUUUGAAGGAGAUAAGAGAAGAUCAGUCAGCUUUAAAACAUGUGGAAAAAAAUGAAAAAUAAACCAGCAGAAUCUGAUAAGAACCCUCACAGCUGCUCUGACUGCGGUAAAAAAUUCAAUAGCAAGUCGCUUCUGAGCAGACACAAGAUGAUACACAUAGAAGAGAGAGCCUUCAGCUGCUCCGAGUGUGGCAAAACAUUCACGAGAAAAUGGCGAGUGAACAAACACAUGAAAAUUCAUACAGGAGGAAAAUGUGUGAGCUGCUCAGAGUGCGGUAAACGUUUUAGAAACCAGAAAUAUCUAAAAAUUCACAUGAAAGUUCACACAGGAGAUCAAAUAUUAAGCUGCUCUGAAUGUGGUAAACGAUUUUCCCAAAAUGGGCAUCUGAUCCAACACAUGAGAAUGCACACAGGAGAGAGACCAUUUAGCUGCUCUCAGUGCGGUAAAAAAUUUAGACAAAAGUGCACUCUGACAAAUCACAUGAUCCUGCACACAAGCGAGAAACCCUUUAGCUGCUCUCAGUGCGGUAAAACAUUUAGACACAAGUGCAGUCUGACAAAACACAUGAUCCUGCACACAGGAGAGAAACCCUUCAGCUGCAGGCUUUGUGAAAAAAGGUUCACUUGGCCAUGCCAGGUAAAAUUUCAUAACUGUGUUGGUGUUCAGGCUUCAGAGCUCCGUGGAAAUCAAAGAGAGGCAGACAGAGGAGCUAAUGGAGAGGCCUGUGGAGGAGCAGAUCAAGGGAGGCAUUUAAGAACAAUGACUGAGGUCAAGACUGAAGACUCUUCUGGAGCUGAGACUGAAGACAGUGAUGAUGACUGGAGGGAGACUGGAGAACUUCCAUCAGUGAUAUGAAAUGUACCACUGGUGAGAAACUACUGCUCUGAGUGUGCUGAUACAUUCAGUUAGCACCCCAAGAGACUCAAAAACUCGCACGAGAGAGAAACCAUAUAGUUGUUAUUUUUUGUAGUCCCGUUUCUUUUAGAGAUUUAAACGAGGUGUUAUAUUCCCCUUCCUCAUUAGUCAAUGCAUUUUAAGACUGAUUAUUUCCUCAGCUCCUCCUUUAGCUUCUCCCUGCCUUUGAUGUUUCUGGCGAUGCAAAAUAACAUCUACUGUUUCCUGUUCCUGUCCACGAUCACACAAACCUGACUGAUGUUUACCUGUUAAGUGCGUCGUGUAAUUUAACCCUGUGAGUCUUCGUCUCGUUAGGAUUGUUUGCUUCCGCCUUGUUUUCACUCCUCUCACUUUGUGUUGAGUUUGAUAAAGAUGACGUCCUUCAUGCUCUUCAUCCCAGAUCUCUUGCCAGGCAGACAUGAUUUUUUUACCUCCCUGAUUGAAUCUCUCAUGUGGGCUGGUUUAGCCCUCUCCCCCUGUGAGCCACUGAUACUAAUGAACCUGACGACUGUUUGUGAUUUCUGUCAUCUAAAGAGGGAAUCGUGUUUCAUGAAUUAAAUCUAAUCAGCAUUGUGAUGACUUAGACUGUAAUGAUACCAAUGAAGAUCAUGAUUUCUUUUUUCCAGCUCUCUUUUACUGAUUUCAGUGAACUCUGACAUCGUGUACUAUAAGGUGCUUUUUAUUUAUUCAUAAAAUGUUUCAAUAAACUUUUUAAAAAUCUGA